This 558-nucleotide ribosomal RNA is filed under the name uncultured Cryptococcus. RNAcentral describes it as "eukaryotic LSU rRNA". The stretch from base 203 to 356 matches the Rfam family "5.8S ribosomal RNA". Lineage: Eukaryota; Fungi; Basidiomycota; Tremellomycetes. The record is from RNAcentral.
CUUGGUCAUUUAGAGGAAGUAAAAGUCAUAACAAGGUUUCCGUAGGUGAACCUGCGGAAGGAUCAUUAAUAGUGCCCUCUGAUGCAAAUCAUUGGGUUAGAUCUGCUCUCUUCGCAAGAAGAGGGUUUCCAUACACACCGUGAACUGUGGCUUCGGCCAUCACAAACUGUUAGUAAUGAAUGUAAUAUCAUAACAAAAACAAAACUUUUAACAACGGAUCUCUUGGCUCUCGCAUCGACGAAGAACGCAGCGAAAUGCGAUAAGUAAUGUGAAUUGCAGAAUUCAGUGAAUCAUCGAAUCUUUGAACGCACCUUGCGCCCUUUGGUAUUCCGAAGGGCAUGCCUGUUUGAGUGUCAUGAAACCUCACCCCACUUGGGUUUUUGCCUGAGCGGUGGUGUAUUGGGUGUUGCCUUGCUAAAGGCUCGCCUUAAAGACAUAAGCACCUUGGAUGUAAUACGUUUCAUCCUUCUGGGUGGCUGAUAACCCCACAUAUUCAUGAUCUGGCCUCAAAUCAGGUAGGGCUACCCGCUGAACUUAAGCAUAUCAAUAAGCGGAGGA